Aethalodelphis obliquidens (Pacific white-sided dolphin) is the source of this 3414-nucleotide RNA transcript. It is a transcript of the gene named membrane cofactor protein-like, with no coding region annotated. Lineage: Eukaryota; Metazoa; Chordata; Mammalia; Artiodactyla; Delphinidae. The record is from RefSeq and is a predicted model, not a curated record. The transcript has 11 exons.
CGGCCCAGGCCACGCCCAGCUGCGAGACCGCGUUUGACGGUUUGUGACUGUGCAGAUUCUUGUUUCUGGUAACUGGACUCAGAAAGAUCUCUGCUGAGCUGUUUCAGGUUUCUCGCUGAUCUCCCGAAAAUGACGGCGCCUUGCUCCUCUCGCAAGGCAUCCCCCUACCGCUCCGAGAGUCCCUUUUCUUCUAGGUGCUUCGUUGGGAUUCUUUUGGUGGCGCUACUGCUCCUGCUUCCCAUAUCCUCCGAUGCCUGUGGUGAGCCACCAAGGUAUGAAUCUAUGCGGCUCCCGGGUGUCCCUAAACCCAGUUAUAGCCCUGGGGAGAGUGUACAGUAUGAAUGUCGCCUAGGUUACCAGCCCAAGCGUCCUCCUCUUCCUACCUCUGCUGUUUGUCAGAAUGAUGGUAUGUGGUCACUUCUCCAGGAGGCCUGUACAAGAAAACAGUGUCCUAACCUAGGGGAUCCCCCAAAUGGCCAAGUAGACUACCCAAAUGGAAGUAUUCUGUUUGGCUCAGAGGCUCAUUAUGUUUGUAAUGUUGGUUAUUUCUUAAUUGGACCAAGUAUUCUAUACUGUGACAUUUCUGGAAGUACUGUGGACUGGAGUGAUACUCCUCCAAUGUGUGAAAAGAUUUUGUGUAAACCACCUGAAAAAAUUCUAAAUGGAAAAUACACAAAUAGCCAUAAGGAUAUAUUUGAAUACAGUGAAGUAGUAACUUAUAGUUGUGAUGCUUCAAAUGGAACAGAUCAAUAUUCACUUGUUGGAGAGAGCAAGCUUGUUUGUAUUGGAAAUGACAAAUGGAGUAGUGACCCUCCUCAGUGUAAAGGAUAUCCCAGUCCCAGUGAUGAACCACCACCUAAAGAUGCUGAGAGUUUAGGUGCAGGAAUCAUUGUUGCAAUUGUCAUUGGUACACUUUUUGGCAUUGUAGUAGUCUGCAGCAUCUACUUCGGUUUUCACAAAGAGAAGAAAAGGUUGCAGUAAAACUGAUGGGGUUAAACUAAAAGUUGCUGAGAGGCUCCAGAGUCAGUAGCCCUGAGUGGCUGCCGAGGACGUCAGAAGUGGCUCAUCCUACUUAAGGAAAGAAGGUAUUGCUACAUACAGCGCUUGCCAGGAUAAGGCAACCACUCCAGCACAGCAGAUGGACUAAAUGGUUUCCACAAACCCAUGUAUCAUUCAGCCAUGAAAAUGAAGGAAAUCCUACCAUUUGAGACAAUACAGAUGGACCUUGAGGGCAUUAUGCUGGGUGAAUAAGUCAUAUAAAGAAAGACAAGUACUGUAUGAUCUCACUUAUAUGUGGAAUCCAAUAAAACAAGCUUAUAGAAAAAGAAAUCAGAUUUACCUUCAUCAGAGGUAGUGGGCUGGGGGUGGCAGUUGAGUAAAGGCAGUCAGAAAAUAUAAACUUCCAAUUAUAAGAUAAAAACCUACUGGGAUGUAAUGUACAGCAUAGUGACUACAGUUAGUAACACUGUAUUGUAUUUUGGCAAGCUGCUAAUAAGAAAGUGGAUCUUAAAACUUCUAAUCACAUGGAAGAAAAAAAUUUUUUUGUAGGUACAUGAAGUGAUGGAUGUUAACUAAAUUUAUCGUGUAAUCAUUUUGCAAUAUAUACAUGAUCAAAUCAUGCUGUACACCUUAAACUUAUGCAGCGUUAUAUGUUAGUUAUAUUUCAAUACUGAAAAAAAAAUGUAUAAAAAUUAUUUGCUAGUUUCUUACACUGUCAGGAAUGGAACUGUUAAGCUAUAGGGCUAACAUUUUAAUGUGGCUGAAGUACAGUCACCAUCAUUUAAUGCUUCUUUGAAAUGUGUAUGAAUUUGUGUUUGAAUAUCUUGCUUGUUUUUCCUUAAAUAACGCUGGUAUUUAUAAGGGCAACUUAACACAGUAUUGCGACUAGCGUUAAGGUGGGGAAAUAUUUUUUCUAUAAAAUCUCCAAACUCAGAGAACUAUAAUUCAAAAUGGCAUUACAUUUCAUUUGUAAAGAAAGUGAUUUUGAAAUCUUUUCUGUUCAAAGAUGACUGCCAACUCUUAAGAUUCAUUCUUCAACAAUCCCAAAAUAUGCAUUAUAUAUUGUUUAUUAUAAAAGUUUGAUUUCCUUAACUAAGAAUAUUACCGGAAAAUACUCUUACAGUUAAUAGGUUAAAAUACUAUUUUAAAAAAUUUGUAACCUCUUGGUGAUUUAAAGAUGCUAUAAAGUUUAUUUCUGGCAUUUGUUCUUCACCCCUUUUAAUAACAAUAAACCAGUCUAAGAAAUCAAGAAGAAUUCAGCAUCAGUUGCAUGCUUCUGUACAAAGUUAGAGGGCUUCUAACACCCAUAGCAGGAAUGCCAGCUCAGGACAAAGUGAACACUGUGGACUUGUAGUUUUCUUAAAAAGAAUUCCACUCUUUAAGAGAAUUAGAAUCCACUCUAAAUUCUGUUUUUCUCUCCCCACCUGAAUAAAGAGAUGUCUUACUUUAAACAUGUCAUCUGAAUGUAGGCAGUUUUGUAGGGAAUAAAUUCAUCAGAUAACCUCAAGUUGCAUUAGAAUCUGAGUCUCACCUCAUCUGUAAAGGGCAGAGUAAAAAUGAAGCCCCAUAUUUCAGAAAAGCAAACUUAACUUUGUAGAUUUGCUGUAGGUCAUGCAAAGGGAUGGAAAGAAGAAUGAGCUCAGGUAGCUCUUGACGCUCAGGUGGGACAGAUCCCAGCCCUCUUCUCUGUCCUCACACCAGGCAGGGCCUCCUUCAAAUAAGCCAGCGGCCAAAGAGGAGGGACUGUCUCUCUAACUCCAAUUACAUUUUUACAUGUUUUGUUUCACACUUUUAUAGUUAGUAGCACAAACUGGGCCAAAGAAACGUUGCCUUAGAAAUAGAUGAAUAAAGAAUCAAGAGUGAACCGGAGUAAAUAUUGUUUUACUCCCUCAGGACAUGUUUGUAAGGCCAUGUAAGUGGUCCUUCCCUUUGUAGUCUCUGGUGAGGCACUUUAGGAAGAUAAAUUUGAGGAGAAUAAAUUCAGGAAUUCUGAGAUAAAUAUAGAGUUGAAGUUUUGCUGUACCCUCUUCCACAUAAUUUUUGAGAAUCUAGCACUUGCUUAGAAGCAAGGGGGUGGCUAUAGUACAUAUUUUUAAAACCCUCAAAGAAGUGUUUUCAACCAAGGAUUAUUAUGCUUACCAAAAUAAAUUGACUUUCAUAGUAUAGUUUCCACUUCAAGAUUAGUUUUUCUAAUUUAUUUAUAUGUAAGAUUGAAAUAUGUGUGGAAAUAUAAAUUAUGUUCUGUUUGUCAAAUAAUUUGUCAAUUAAAUAUAGGGGGACACCAUUUUUCUCUAGAAAUGUUUAUUUAAAUGAGAGAGGGAAAAGUGUAUUUUAAUUUAAAGCUUUCUUAAAACUGCAUUUUGAGAAUUGGACCUUCAGAUCUAUUAAAAAAAUAAAACGUCAUUAUGGAGAAGU